UGGGGAGUGGCCAAGCGGCAAGGCGUGGGACUUUGGAUCCCAUAUUCGAAGGUUCGAAUCCUUCCUCCCCAG
Molecule: transfer RNA, 72 nt
Filed under: Elusimicrobia bacterium RIFOXYA2_FULL_39_19
Lineage: Bacteria; Pseudomonadati; Elusimicrobiota
Description: tRNA-Gln
Rfam family: tRNA
About the family: Transfer RNA (tRNA) molecules are approximately 80 nucleotides in length.
Source: RNAcentral